CACCUGUGGCAUAUGGAGGUUCCCAGGUUAGGGUCAAAUGGGAGCCAUAGCCAUUUGCACAGACACAGCCACAGCCAUGCAGGAUCUGAGCCCCAUUUGCAACCUAUACCACAGCUCACAGUAAUGCCAGAUCUUACCCACUGAGUGAAGCCCGGGAUUGAACCUGCAUCCUCAUGGAUACUAGUUAGAUCCAUUACCACUGAGCCAUGAUGGGAACACUCCCCUGGGGUCUUUUAUGGCCACUCUUUCCUCUCUUCUCAGUUCUGCGGCAGUUCAGCUGGUUAAAUGACAUGUGUAAGAUCACAAGACUGCUGAGGAAGAUGAGCCAAUGCUCAAAAGCCACCUUUGUGAAUAACACAGAGAAGCCUAUUGUGAGUGCUCCAAUGAAGGGGGAAUCAGGCCAGGUGUGCCCCACAGUUGACGACUGAGCUGCCCGUGAGGCCCCAUGAGUCUCCCAAGUUUUCCAGAUGAGGAGCCUGAGACUCAAAAACUGUGAGAAACUUUUUCAAGGUCAAACAAAUACUUGAUGUAUUUAUGUUUCUGGGAAAUAAAGGCAAAGAAGAAGGAAGGACAGGAUAAAUAUUUGCAAGGGAGAGUCUAUUGCAGAGAACAUUUGGUGACUGAAGGGCCCUGGGGACUCCAUUUUAGUGUGAUCAUUUUCUCUGAGAGGAAGCAGAUCCCUGUCUGCAUUUGUGAUAUUUUCUAGUUUGUAAAGUGGAUGCAUUUUUCUCCUCCAGGGGCCCUGUUCUUCAGGUUUUCUUGGUAUAGGGAUGUCUGGUUAUUUUUGGCUUGUGAAUACCAGUAACACAGAGGGCAUCCUCCCCCUUGACCAGCUGUGCUCUCAUUUCCUCUAAAAGGCUGGCAGUGUGAGGACAGUUUUGGACUUGCCUGUCAGAGAAAGGAUUUUUGUCAUCAAUCUUCCUCUGCCUGUGGAGAAGGGUGGUGCGAGAAACUGCUGUCUGCAAAAAUUGCUUUUAAGGUGGGGAAAGAUUGUUUACAUGUUCCCUUUCUUAGAGACUGGCACUCACAGAGGUCUGUGAUAGGCAUGGGUUAGACUGAGAUGUGGACUAGGAAUAGCCUGUCACAGCAUCCUUGCAGGAACUUCAGGCAGACCUUUCUCCUGCCCCCCUAACCCCAGGCCAUACUUCUGGCCCCAGCAGUUUCUUAGCCUCCUUCUUUUCAUCUAAGCCAAGGUCAUGAGGUGAAUCUUGUUCCCCACUUUGGUACUUUCCUGGCACAGCUAAAUAUGGCACAGUCUUCAAGACUUCCAUUUCCACGCCAUACCCAGAGACCAGCUGCCAGGUCUUUUUAAGAGGUACCAAUUUUAGCGAUAAGACCAUAGCCUGUGGGUUCCCAUCCCAGCUCUAUCUUUUCCUACUCAUGUGACCUUGGGCACGUUCUUCCAACUCCGUGUGUCUAAGUUUCCUUGUGCAUCAAGUGGGGCUGGGGAUGGUCGCAUCUUCCUCCUAGGGGCCACAGGAAGAUUAAAGUAGUUAAUAUUGAUAAAGUUCUUAUAAGAGUGCAUGGUAUUUAUCAAGUAUUAUGUAAGUGUUUCUUAGGCUAAAAAAUGUAACAUUUAAUUUCUGAGGAUGAGUAGAGGUAGGUAGCAAAACUGAGCACUUUGCCCAGCUGGGGGGUCUGGGUUGUGUUCUUGUUGGCUCUCCCUAGCACUUCCGUUCUGUAAUCUACCCUGUUUUAUUGAAAGGAUCUCUGUUUCUGACUAACUGCAGGCUCUCUGAGUGCAGAGUUCUGUUUAUCCUAUUUAUUACUUCACCCUCACUGCCUGCAACUGCAUAAUUAGUUUCAGUCCUUACUGUUUCAGUGUCCUAUCUACAAGGCAGAUUCACUUUGGGAAAAGGAAAUGAAAGACGGAUGGAAAGUCUGACCCCUGAGUUUUGUUUUAAAUUUGGGACCUCUUCUAAUAGAAAAGCUGGGGGUGCAUCUUCUAGGCAGAACCGCCGACCCCGUCAUGAGCGAUACAGCCAUCCAGUAAGAAAAACAGAAGACACGAGACCCUCCAGACAGGUCCUGUGUCCAUUUCCAGAGGAUAGCUCCUGCCUGGGGACCAUCAUCCCCAUUCAGCCUUUCCUUCUGUUACCUGUAGUGAUUUCAAAGGAGGAUGGAUCAAGGCUGUUCAAAAACCUUCCACAACUUGUCCAGGGACCACUGAGGUGGAACUGAAGACUUUGGAAAAGGUCCAGUUUAUUUUGAGGAAACUUGAGUCUAAGAGAUCUGGAGCUGCCUAGAGCUGCCUAAUUUCCCUGGGGAAAGUUCUGGCAUGUGUUACACCACUGGUAAGACCAAAUGCCUAGGGCGGUUUGGCAUGGCCAAGAAGAAAUGUGCUCAACGGGAGAGAAACGCGUUGUCAGAACUAUCCACACUGGGAAAGUUAUACUAGAAAUUUACAGUAAAUGACUUGGUAUAUAACUGCUCAUAUUGUAAAUACAGAAAGGGAAGCUUCACAAAGGGAAGUGUGAAACGUAAUUGUCAUUAACAGUAAUAAGGAAUAAUAGCUUUAAAAGACCAAAGAUACUUGAGGGAUAUGUGUUUGUGUGUGUAUGUGUGCAUGCGUGUGUGUGUAUUAGCCAUGCACAUAUGUGUGUGUGUGUGUAUUUGCAUUUCCAUGUACAGAAAAGUAUGUUUUAUAGGAAAAGUGUCACCUCAAACAAAGGCUAAUCAUUGAUUUCAGUAUGGAUGGACUCCUUUCAGGCUCCUCUUACCCAUUUGUCCCAGGACUAGAGAAACUUGUGGCACUCACCAUGCUUUGAUUCCAGAACAUUCCAUAAGUACUGCAGAAAGAGCAUAGACUUUGCAGUCAGGCUGACUUGAACUCACAUUCUAGCUAUUCCAUUUACCAGAUGUGUGAUCUGAGACCAGUUAACAUCUAUCAAUUGCAGGUUUUUAGCUACAGUAACUAGGGUAUAAUUAAAAGAUCAAGCUCUCAGGGUAGCUGGAAGAACCAAAUGAGAAAAGAUCUCUUAAAUCACAUACCUCAAGGCUUAUCAUUUAGCAGGAUCUACUAAAUAUUUACUGGAUCCUUUCACUGGUGGUGGGGCAGACAUCCUAGAACAAUGGCAGUAGCCUAUGUGCUCUUGGUAAGAGUGAGAAUCUAGACUGGUCCUCUUUCAUUAUGCUUUAGGAUACAUUUCACUAGACUCUUCAUAACACAGACAACAGAGUACCCUUAAGAUGAAUAGACUGCCUUUAGAGCUGCUACCAUAGUUACUUUAUGUUUUAUCUUACAAAAGACCUUUCAUAUAGAAGAAAGCCAAUAAGUAUUUGUGGAAUGAAUUAAUUAAAAACUAACAAGCCUGAAUCCUCAAUUAACAAUGUGCUGUUAUUGUAUUUUCCUACACUCCACUGAGGAGGAAAAAAAAAAAAAAAAACCCAAACAAACAAAUGACAAGCUAAUAUUGGAAUUUAAGGGAAUCUAAUUGUUCUUGAGCAUGUGCGUUAAUUCCUUCGGUAUUUUCGAGGGUAAAGAUUAAAUAGAAUACAGAUUUUCUAUUUAUUCUGUACCUAUGUCUUCCAUCCUAGAUUAUAAGACUCUGUCUUCAAACAGGAUAUUCAAUUACUAUAAAUAAAACACAUUUAGUGGCAUGGGAGGCCAUUGUCAAAGGGAAGAUAGGAGAAUGAACAUCGGCUUGGUACUUAGACAUCUAAGGUCUUGUACACCAGUUAGCUGUAUGAACUUGGGUAAGUCACUUCCUUCUCUGAGCCAGUUUUCCCCUUGGUAUAAUGAGAAAAUUGAUUAUCUUCAAAAUAUUUUCCAGCUCUAAAAUCUUUGAGUAUGAGGCUAGAAAUUUGGUUGCGAUGCUUUAGAAACACUUGCAAAGUGUUUGUUAUAGUACUUGAUAAUAUACAUGGAAAUGAUGUAUUUAUGUAUCUGUGUGUUUCACUAGACUGUAAAUUUCUUUAGGGUCUGGCUUAGAGCCUAGAAAAGAGUAAAUUUCAAAGGAGUAAUUGAUUUUCAUUAAUUUUUGUUUAGUUGGCUUGUUUUUUGCUUUUUAGGGCCACAUCCACGGCAUACGGAAGUUCCCAGGCUAGGGGGUCUAAUCAGAGCUGUAGCCAAUGGCCUUUGCCACAGCCACAGCCACAGCAAUGCAGUAUCUGAGCUGCAUCUGGGACCUACACCACAGCUCACCACAACACCGGACCUUAACCCACUGAGAGAGGCCAGGGAUCAAAACUGCGUCCUCAUGGAUGCUAGUCAGAUUCGUUAAGCACUGAGCCAUGACGGGAACUCAUGAUGUUCAUUAAUUAUACUGAUCAAAUAUCAGAAGAAAUUUCCAAAUUGGAAUUGUGAUUUAGUAUAUCUUUUAAAAAAUGGCAGCUAAGGAUAAUUUUCAAAUGUCCUUAGAUCCUAUUACUUUAAAUGCACUUCAGGUAAAUGUAGUGACCUAGAGAGUUAAAUAAUUAAACAUAUUUUGGUCUGCCAUUUUUCAAAGAGCAUAAAUGUUCUCUGCUAAAAGGAGCCCUUUUCUUCCUCACAUCAGUCAUGUGGUGUACAUGAUCCUCUGCCUUUGAAUUUGCUGCCGUCGACAUUUUUAUCUGUGGCUCCGCCACAGAUACAGUCGACAGCUCAUCAAAUGCAAGGGUGACAGGAAUCUAGAAAGGAGCACACACCCCGCUUCGGACCGAAUCAUGAUCCAAAGAGAUAUUAACAGGCUGCAAUGAUAAGACAGUUUCAUUCUCACAAAAUGCAGCUUAACAAGGAUGAAUGUUCUACCCAGAGAUCU
Molecule: long non-coding RNA, 4739 nt
Filed under: Sus scrofa (pig)
Lineage: Eukaryota; Metazoa; Chordata; Mammalia; Artiodactyla; Suidae
Description: lncRNA (ENSSSCG00050062328.1)
Source: RNAcentral